RNAcentral lists this long non-coding RNA (11780 nucleotides) under Homo sapiens (human). RNAcentral describes it as "HSALNT0040504". The record is from RNAcentral. Lineage: Eukaryota; Metazoa; Chordata; Mammalia; Primates; Hominidae.
AAAUUAUGUUCCUCUGACCCUCCUCGCUCUGCACAGAGCUUCAUCUUCUGGAACAGAUCCACCAAACGAGAGCCAGAAGAUGCAGCAGCCCAGGUCUAAUUUGUAUGCAGAGACCCUGGUCAGACAGGCAAAAUAUCUUUGUCCAAAAAACCUCAGAAUUGAAUAUCCAAACCCCUAUCUAGUUAGUGUGCUUCUUAGAAUACAAAUAGAAUUACAAAAUGUUUCAGUAAUCAAAAAGGGACAGCAUCGGCAAACAGUUGACAUCAAAAUUGUCUGCUCAUCAAAGAGGAAUGACAGAUCCUCCUUCAUCAACAUGUUUUCCUUAGGAAUGGUGCCAGGAUGCAGGGCAUAAGUGAGAGGACAGUUCCCUUGGUUAUGAGGUAACUAAAAAUAGCCACCUUUGAAAGCCAUCAGAGGUCACUUGUUUUGAAGAAAAUCAUCAGAAGAACUUUGAACUAUAAGAUAUUGACUAUUAAAUCAUGUUAUUUUCUUCAUUUGUCAAAGUUAUUGGGAUGUAGCAAAUACUUGAGACUUUGAAUUGAGUAGAUUUUGAGUAGAUUUAUGAAUGAAAUCAAAGGACACACAAAAACAGUGUAAUUCACCCAUCUGGAGACUCCACGUAUGAGUUUGAAAACUUUUAGUAUGUAUGCCAAUUAGUCCAUCCAGCCAAAUAGGCACAACAAUUUUCCGAUAAUAAGAAAAAUAAGACCAAGAAGCUAGCUGGAAUACUAAGAAAAACAACAGAGGGAGUUAAAUUCUUCAUUAAAAUUGACCACUUCUAGAGGCCUUGCAGGAAAUAUUAAAAUAAGUUCUUCAAUGAGAAUGAAAAUGAUAUAGGUCAGAAACUUGGAUCUGCAUGAAGAUACACCUUAAAAAAGGAAGAGCAUCAGAAAAAUGAAUAAGUGAAGGUCAAGUGCUGUGCUGUACUGAUUGAUAGAUUGUCUCCAGCAGGAAGUUUGACAAUGGACAACCUAGAAGCAGAUGUGCCUGAUAAAUGUAAAUGGUAGCUUCUUUGUGGCCCUUCCACCAGAAGUGAAGAAGCCUGGUGCAGAGCUUCUACUUGACCUAUGAUAGAUAUGCUGCUGGAGAAGAAAUCAACCUCCUGGUUCCCACCCAUAUCUUGCUCUGGUUAGUCACAAUCAGAAUCUUCACAACCACAAUCAGAAUCUUCCCACAGCCCUACCUGCAACACCUGCUUGUCUCUGCCAUUACAAUAUAAGGUAUGGUUUGAUUCUCUUAUGUACUGUGUUUGGUGCCCAUGCAGUCCCUCAUGAGUACCAGCUGAUUUUCUUCCGUGUGUGUAUAAACAAUAUCAUGUUCCUUUAAUUCAAAUAAUAAAAAGAUAUAUAAUCAGCACUGAAUCUUUGAGUCACAAGGUUUAACAUAGACUUAUCUGAAUUAUUCUACAUCCUUGUGACUUGGGAGGGGGACAUGUUUAUUACUUUUUCUUUUACAGCUUGAAAGUAUUCUUUUCAAGUGUUCAUUUUGUCCUGUGCAGCAAUCUCUAAUUCACUCCCUACCCAAAGUUGACUAGAAUACUUUAAUCUAUCAUGAUUAAUAUCAAGGAUUCUAUAAUUAAAACACCUCAUUUUGAUGGGUGGUUUCCUCACUUCCUAUCUGUGACGUUGGGCAAGUUACUUAACCUCUCUAAGCUUAUCUGAGCCUAUUUUAUAGCAUGCACCAAAAAGCUAUUACAUUAUGGCCAUUAUUUUUACUGUAGCUCAGCAUAGCUCUGAAGACUGUUAAACAUUUCACUUUUUAUAAUACUGUUUCUUAGACUUUAUUUGAAUAUAAAGUUUAUACCUUCAUUAGAAACAUUAUUAGAUCACUUUAUCAGUCUGCUUGGGCUGCCAUUAAAAACAUACCAUAGACUAGGUGGAUUAAACAACAGAACUUUAUUUCCUUACAGUUCUGGAGGCUGGAAGUCCAAGAUUAGGAUGUCAGCAGGAUUGAUUUAUUCUCAUGCCCUCCCUCCUUAGCAUGUAAAGACUGUCUUUUUGUGGUGUCUUCAUGUGGUCUUUCCUGUGAGUGUCUGUGUCUUAAUCUGCUCUUGUUAUAUGAAGACAAGCCAUAUUAGAAAAAGGCCGGUCCUAAUUACCGCAUUUAAGUGUAAUUACCUCUUUUAGGGCCCUGUCUCCAAAUACAGUCAUAUUCUGAGGUAUUGGGGGUUAGGACUUCAACAUAUCAAUUUUAGGGAGACACAAUUUAGCCCAAAACAAUCAGUAUCUCUGAAAUGUCUAAAUUCAGGAAUUUAAGAUUUUUUUUUUCAUUGAAUAGAAACAAAAUAAAACUAAACAUCAAUGACAAAGAGAGGCAGAGAGAAUAACUACUAAUGUAAAUGUAAUUUUUUUUUCUGCAUUGGCUUCCCUUGUCUCUUCUUUUCAGUGAAGUCAAUGAAGCCGUUGCCCUACAUUUACUUGUAUUAUACCACAGAAAACCUUCCCUUUGAACCCCAGAGCUUAUAUCAAGGCUAGUUUAACUUGAAUAUGACUAAUUUACCAUGUCUCUUAACAGCAGCUUUUACAAUCUGGCACCUGACCCAGAACCUAUUUCUGGAAGAUUUUAACCUAUGUGUAAACAGCACAUAACAGACACUUUCUCUAAGGCCUAUGAAGGAAUAUAUAAAUUGUUCCAUAUUAAUAAUGAUGAUGAUAAUAGCAAAUCCUUCUAUAGUGCUUUCUACAUGCCAGUCACUAUUCUAAGCACUUCACAGGUAUCUGCUCUUUAUUCCUUUUGUGGGCUUUAAAGUUCCUAUUGUUGAGAAAUGCAACAUUAAUUUUUGUACUGUCAAGAGAUUCCAGGAAGAGAAAUUUUAAAAUGCUGUGGCUUUUGUUGACUGUAUGACCAACCUCCUAUCAACUUAAGAAUAUCUUGCGGAAAAAUGUGAGGUUUUAUAAUUUAUUCAUGAGUUUUUAGUCACUUUUAAUUGGAGACAAUGAAGUGGUUAUACCAAAUAAAAGGCCUACAAAUUAAAUUUACAUUUUUCUAGUCAUUAUACUAAUAUAUGCUUAUCAAGUGCUAAACUUUUUAAAUCAUCUGCAGUAAAAUGCUUAGAGAGAGGAGGGUGAUAGUGCUAAAACUGGUUGAAAAUCUGACACAUAUUAGACAUUAAGGUAACAGACUUGUCCAAGGUCACAGAACUAAAACAUGGUGGAGCUCCCUAAUUCCAUGCUACAAUUUUAAGCUAUUGAUAAUAUCCUGCAAGUUGUUUUAUUACAUAUAAAUCCAAGUGGAGACACUUAGAGAAAUUGAUUAAAAGAAAAACUGUUGAGCAUAAUCAAACAGUACUGUUGAAAGGCUGUUUUAUUUUAUUUGCAGAGCAUUUUAUGUUAGCCACUAUCCUGUUAUAAGGACUUGUUCAUUGUGAGUAUGCGGCACUAUAGUAAUUGGUUAUAAAGAAGAAUGUAGAACAGCAGGUGUACAAUAGAAAUUGCUCUUUGUAGUUUAAAUAAAUUUCUAAGAGCUACCAUAUAUUUAAUUCUUAUUCCAUGAUAGGUACAAGGACUUAGAUUUCUUAAAUCUCAUGCAAAUAAGUACUUUUAAAACCAAUUUUCAGGCUGGACACAGUGGCUCACACCUGUAAUCCCAGCACUUUGGGAGACCUAAGUGGGAGGAUCAUCUGAGGUCAGGUGUUCAAGACCAGCCUGGCCAACAUGGUGAAACCUUAUCUCUACUAAAAAUACAAAAAUUAGCUGGGUGUGUUGGCAUGCACCUGUAAGCCCAGCUACUUGGGAGGCUGAGGCAGAAGAAUUGCUUGAACCUGGGAGGCAUAGGUUGCAGUGAGCCAAGAUUGUGCCACUGCACCCCAGCCUGGGCAACUGAGUAAGACUCUCACUCAAAAACAGAAACAAAAACCAAAGCAAACAAGAAAAAACAAUUUUCUAUGUCUAUGUUGGAUAAAUUUAAAUUUAUUUACUUUCAUAUCAAAACAAACACCUUAAUUUGGGACUAAUGUAAUAGUUUGUAAUUGAUUUUAACCUCCUCCAAAAGAUACUGUAAGAAUAACUCGUAUAUUAAUCAUCCUAAAAUAUAAAAUGUGGUGUCAUUUUCCAGUUUUUAAGAUUUCAUCGUCCUAGGAAUUCAAGUCCAGGCAGCACCGAAUGUCUCUUAACCUUAGUCCACUUAUCUUUCAUGCCUUGGGGCCCACUGUUUCACUUGGUUUCAAAAAAACAACCUGGCUCAGUGUAUUAUUGUAGAUUCCCUAGAGAAAUCCAUCUGCUUUUUCCUCUCUUUUUUCUCACAUGAUUGUCUUGCCUCACAGACCCUUCCAUCAUCUUCCAAGUGAGGAAACCUAUUGAGGUAUCAAGGGCCAACUUCAAUGAAAACUUCCCCGACUUCCUCUGAAUGGAUUUGAGCUCCUCUUCUAAAUUCCUCUAGCUCUUAGUUGUUAUAUGCUAAUAAUAUUGAUCACAUACUAAAGCAUCUCAUUACAUUUCAGUGCAGAAAUAAUCCUGCUUAUUAUCAUAUAGAUCCUAUCAUAUAGAUCUAUAGAUCAUUAAGCACUGUGUCUGUUACACAAAGGAAAUUUUUGAUAAAUAUUUCUGGGGAAAAGGCAAUCAGAAAAUGGGAAGUAAUAAAAGAAUGACAUUUGGUGCUGUGUCCUUCCUCUUAUUUCUAAAAUAAAAUACAUAAAAAUUUGGUUUUUGCUAACAUAACCAUCUGAAGUGAUAUGACAGGCCUUUGGCUAACUAUCUAAUGAUAUACUAGCAAUUCACAAAAAUUUGGGGAAAAUGAACAUAUAUUCACUAAUUCACAAGUAGUCACCCAUGCUAGAUUAGAAGAUGAAGAAUUGAGUAAAAAGUGGAACCUAUUUUAAUUAUGUUACAGCCUACUGAUAAAUAAAUAAUCCCAGUAUGGAGUGGUAAGUCCCAUAAUAAAUAUCUACAGAGAGGUCUCUGGAAGCACAAGGAAGGACCGUCUGGGUUUGACAGGGGAUAUUAGAAAAAGUUUCAAAGAACACAUGACAUUUGUUCAAAAUCUUGAAGGAUGGAGAUGAGUUUGCCAAGCAGAAAAGAAUAAAACAUUAUUUUAUCACUUGAGAAAGGGCCUGCCCAUAGUUGGUAAAUUCAGGAUGUGAUAUUUGGAGAGAGAGGAUAUUAUGGGGUGAGAAAGGAAGGGAGUAGCCAUGUUGGGGAGGAAUCAGAGAGCCAUGCUAACAAGUUUAACUUUAAUUGCAUGCAAGACUGACAGCCAUUAAAAGGUUUUAGGCAGGAAAGUGAUGUGAUCAGAGCUACAGUAUGCUGAAGAAUAAAUUAAUGUGAUGAGCCAAAAUCAGAUGCAGGGAGGUUACGGGACUGCAGCAAAGCUUCAGGGAAAGGCAGUAGUAAUAGGAUGUGCAGGAAAAAGUAAUGCAGAUUGCAGAAACUUAAAAUGGGUGAAAGAAAGAGAGAGAGGCAAAAGAUUGACUGUGGCUUACAGUUUUUGAUAAAUAAUAAUGCCAAAAAUCAAGAUCUGGAUUAAGAGGGAGAUCUAGUGUGAGGAAGAAAGAAAAUCAGUUAGCAUUGCAGGUUUUUAUCUGAUUCUGUAAAAUCAACAACUGUCCAGUAAGCAGUUAUAAAUAUUUUUCUGGCAUGAGUUGAGACUCAGCUAAAGAUAUAUAUUCCAAAACCAAUAGUUUAAGCGUGGAGGUAAAAACCUCCAUGCAUAGAGGUAUAUGAAAUUGGCUAUGGACAUUUUUGAGAGAGAAAAGGGCUAAGUAUAGAGUCCACAAAGAAGACUAAAAGGAAGGUUUUGAACUCAGCUGAAAACUAAGGAAAAAAUAUUGUCAUGAGAAAGAGUGAAGACAGUUUUAAAGAGAAUGUGCUAUGGUUUGGAUGUGGAUUGCCCUCAUCAAAAUUCAUGUUGAAAUUUGAUCCCCAAAAUGUCAGUGUUAGGAGGCAGGACCUAAUGGGAGGUAUUUGGUUCAUGUAGGUGGAUCCCUCAUGAAUAGAUUAAUGCUUUCUCCCAGGAGUGAGUUCUUUCUUUCAAGGGAAUGGAUUAGUUUCCACAAGAGCAGGUUGUUAAAAAGAGUUUGCUUCAUCUGUUUCUCUCUCUUGCUUUCUCUCUUGUCUUGCAAUCUCUGCACAUGCCUGCCCCUCUUCCAUUAUCUUCCAUGAGUGGAAUCAGCCUGAGGACCUCAACAGAUGCACCUGCCCAAUCUUAAACUUUCCAGCAAUCUGAAUUGUGAGCCAAAUAAUUUUUUUAUAAAUUAUCCAGCUUCAAGUAUUAUACCAACAAAAAAAAGGUAAGCAACAAAAAAUCAAGUGAGACAAAAAGUCUCCAUAGUUCUUGAUACCAUGAAACAUACAAAGGAAGAAUUAGGAAGAUACAAAGGGAAGACAAGGGCUUCAAGGACACUUUUACAGGUGAUAUAUACAUAUAGACUCUCAACUGUGAUUAUGAUUUUACAGGUAUAUGCAUAUGCUCAAACUAAUCUAAUUGUAUACAUACAUUUAGUUUUAUAUGUUUGAUAUGUGAAGUUCUGAAUAUCAAUCAUACAUCGAUAAAGCUGCUUAAAAAAUAAAAAUAAAAAAUAGAAGCAUACAACAAGUCAACUGGCACUUAAAUUAGAUAGUGGAAUUCUGUGUGUCACUUAAUCUUUAUCACUUAUUUUAAAUUUAAAGUCAUAUUAUUGUCUGUAUCUAGACCAAGAACUUUUCAUAAGACAAGAUGUACUAUUACAUCUUGUAUAUAUAAAUGUAUAUAUAAAAAUUCAGCAGAGAACAUUUAUCAUGUAUCUAUUUCCUAUAGACUUCUGGACAUUUGGAGGUAUUUUAGAAAAAAUAUAAUAGUCACAAACUCAAUUCAAAAGAAGUUAUUAUUCAUUAAAAAACUCUCCUAUUUUUUCCAUGUGGCAUGGUAAUUUAGUUUGUAUCAAGAAGCUCUGAUAUAGGGUCCAUUUACUUCAUCAAGCAUCUAACUAGCAUCUAAAAAUGGAUGCUUUCUGUCCUUCACACAAUUGAACUUAUCUGUGGCAACCGUCAAUCUUCCUAAGGUGGCUCCCAGGAGACUACCAAUCGUCACACAAAGCAGAGCCCCAGAAGUCUUUGUGUGCUACUAACUGAUCAGAUUAUGUUAUUUAUUCCUGUCAUUCUCCAUUUCUUUCACUGCUACUGACCGUAUAAUAGGCUGGCAGACAGCUCUGCAUUUAUCACUCCUCCAUCUAUAAGAAAAAGGAUCAUAAUUUAGAGUAACUCAUGUAACUGGUACGAUGAAUUUCACAGGGGUUUGCUUGACUCCGUUUUACUGAUUCUAACAUUCAUAUUGGUCUGAACCACCCCUUUAUUCCUAGGAACUUUUCAGUGUAUGUGGAGGAUCUUCAUAUUUUCUUAUGCAACACAAGCCAAGUCUCCACGAUGUGCAUGAAAAAUUAUAAUAUAUCUCUAUUGUUGUUUUUUUUUGUGUUUAACUCAGUGAGCUAUAUAAAUUUUUUUCAUUUGAAGAUAAUAUUCUAUUUUUUUAAGCUGAAGAAACUUCAAACUACAACUUGUGAAAUGUUAUUACUUCAGUGAAACUCAUUUAUUCUUAUUAUUCCAUAUUUUUUUUUUUUUUUGGGACGGAGUCUAGCUCUGGCGCCAGGCUGGAGUGCAGUGGCAUGAUCUUGGCUCACUGCAACCUCCACCUCCUGGGUUCAAGUGAUUCUCCUGCCUCAGCCUCACAAGUAGCUGGGAUUACAGGUGUGCACCACCACACCCAGCUAAUUUUUGUAUUAUUAGUAGAGAUGGGGUUUCACCAUGUUGGCCAGGAUGGUCUCAAUCUCUUGACGUCGUGACCCACCUGCCUUAUCCUCCAAAAGUGCUGAGAUUAUAGGCAUGAGCCACAAGCCCAGCCGACAUUAUUUUUUAUAUCGUAAUUGCUCUCCAGAGCUUUAUACAAGGAAAUGCAAUGAGUCAAUAUACUUACUGAGAUUGCAGAAGAGACUGAACACUGCGCUAGGCUCUGAAGAGAAAGAUGAAAAAGAAGAAAGUGCUCCUGAGUAUAUGACUACUUGUACUUGCUAGCACUGAGGCAAGUACAAACUCUAGGCAUCAGGCUUUUGGUCUCACUCUUAGCGAAUUUGAACACUGGCUUUUUUGUUGGGCUUCCAUUCUUCUCUCAGCGCAAGAAUACCAACGUUUAUGACCCAGGAAGCACCAACUUAUACUUCACAGAGCUAAGAAACAGCAUUUCGCCAUGUCACGCAGGCUGGUCUUCAACUCCUGGACUCAAGCUAUCCACGGGCCUCGGCCUCCCAAAGUGCUAGGAUUACAGGCAUGAGCCACUAUGUCCGGCUUGGAGUUUUUAGUCUCAUCAAACCAACUCACCCAAAUGUCCCUUGGUGACAAAAAGUUUUCUGAAAGAUUAAGUAAUCUUUGUUUCCCAAGCCUGACAAAAUAAAAAGUUUUCUGUCUCUCUCUUUCUCUUUUGCACUGUUUCUCUUUAAGUCUUGUUAGAAUACAGAACUGUAGACAUUUAGACAGAGCCAGGGUCAUUGUCUUGACUGGCCCACUGACCAGAUUAGUAAUUCUUAAACUAGGGUCCCUAGACCAGCACCACAGGCAUCUGUGGGCUUGUUAGAAAUGCACAUCCUUGGACCACUGAAUCAGAUAUUUUGAGAGUGGGCUCAAUAAUCUCUGUUUUGAGAAGACCCCCAAGUAAACCUGAUGCACAGUAAUUGUUGAGAAACACUGAAUAAAUUGUAUACCAUUAGCCUGUUUUUAAAAAUCAUCUGAGCCAUUCCUUUAUUAUAUGAGAUGACCAUUAAAAUCUCACUCAGUUUUAUCAUAUAAUGAAACAUUUGGUGAUAGCAUAAAACUCUAUUUUGAUGGCUCAGUUUUUAUGAUUUCCUUUGAUAUAAUUGUUUCCUUAAGAAGGUGCCAGUUUUGAAAAGGAAACUGUUUUGUUCCCUUUUGUACAGCACAAGCUAAGGAUCUAUGAUGGAAUGAUAAUUAAUCUGUAAACUAUAAUUAUGUUGUCGAUUCUGGCUGUAUAUGGGGCAUACCUGAUUCAUCUGCUACUUGAUGUCCUGCAUGACCAUCACCAGACACCAAGCAGCAGAACAAGACCAUGGACCACAGAGUCCUGGAAAUGUCUACCUCCUGAGCUGAGCCACCACCAGGAAUGGUGUCAGUAAAUGCAUGAGCACCAGAGUAUUUUGAAUGAAAGGAAAAAAGUGCAAUUCAGGAUAUGACUCCCUACCCCAGCCUACUAGCAGAUCCCAAAUGUUGUCAUAAUCCAGUAAAAUAUAACACUACCAAGUUGUGAGGCACUGAGAAACCAUUGCAGGUGAUAGCCAACUGUGUGUUCCCAACUCUGAGCAGUUCUGCCUGUCAGAAUCUUCCCAUCUCAGUCCCCACCCACCUCUUCAGCCUCAUGUUUCCUCAAGCCUUUCUUCAGAUUGACCACACUUCACUUCUGUGUCUACGAGGAUUUGCCUUGUCACUAAAAUUGUUAUGUUACAAUAGGGCCCCAUAUCCAUUAGGUAAUUGGCUUUGUCAUCACCUUCACUUCUAGUUACUUUCUUGGAAUGUUAAAUGAAACAUUCUUGCCUUAAUAGUAACAUCAGUUCCUACAUAUCUUCCUUGUGUGUGUUUGGUUGGCUGAUUGUCACUUUCUACUCUGAAUGUUGAAUCAGACUGCCACUUUCUACUCUGAAUGUUGAAUCACCUUCUUGCUCUGCCCUCUACUUGCAUUUUCUUGUCUACUUACCUGUCCACUUAUCUUUUGAUCUUUUUGCCUCCCCUUCUUUGGGCAUCCCUGUCCUUCAGCUUGCCUGGAUAUGACUUCUAGCCUUGUGUGAUCUUGGAUAUGUGUGCGUAGCCCAAAGUUAUACCAUUCAACAGACUCCAAUGUCAUUAAAGGGAUCUUGUUCCACCAUGUAUUUUUCUGCCUUUUCCCCUAAAUUACCAAAAUUUUUGGCCUGUUAACAUUUCUGUCUCUGUAUACAGAUCAUAGUCCUUUAAUGUACUUUACUACAUGCAGAAAUUCUAUUGAUUUGGAUUCAAGUCUUUCAUAUUUGGCAUUGCUUUGCAAUUCACUUGCUCUUUUAUAGACCCAUUUUGACAGUUCUCAAGAAGGCUGGUGAAACAAGCCUGGCUGUGAUUUGGGCUGCAAUUCUUUCUUUCUCUCCGUGAGAAAUCUUUGUAGCACUGUAGUCAAAGCUGCAUACAGAAUUGUCUGACCAGCUGCUGUCCAUGGAUAGAGCCAAGGCACCAGGCUGACCUCAUACCUAAGAAGCAGUUAUUCAGAAGUUGUACAUGAUUAUCAAAGAUGGAAUUUAUCUCUACCUAGGGCUAAAAGUUUAGGCAGUUCUGUACUGAUUACUUUUUUCAGUCACAUCAAACUCAUCCUCAUACAGAAUAAAAUAAAAUAAGUUUUUCGUGUGCCUGUCUUGCUUUGGGAAAUGAAGAAAUGAGAGUAAGUAUCAUCUUGUUUAUGAAGAGCAAAUACUAUGAUUAAAAAUCAAGAUUAAAAACCUCACACUGUUCAGGACAACUGGAUCACAAGAAUAUUUUGGUUUCAAGUAUCACUGAAUUUUAUUAAUCUCUCUAAGAAAACUUUAUACAAAUAAUAAUUAAGCCUUGGAUUUGCUGAAUGGAUGUUGGAAAAUAGUAAGGUAAAGAGAGGCCAGCAAUCUCUUUUGAACUACUAGCCUUCUGGACCAGUGUGACUCUGCCUUUGAUGAGGAGUACAGGAGGAGGAGAAAGACUUUUAAGAAGAUUGAGCACUUGUCAUAAAACAAGACUGCUAGGGACAUACAUAGCAUGGUUGAAAAAAUGACUUUUGGAGUCUCACUAUGGUCUGUACUAGCGCUAACAACAAAUGAAAAUACAAUGUGGGCCAAUUUGUAAUGUUUAAUGUUCUAAUAGCCACAUUAAUAUAUGUGAAUAAUCUGAUAAAAUUAAUUUCAACAAUAUAUUUUAUUUACCCAAAUAUGGAUGAAAUUAUUAUCCAACAUAUAAUCAAUGUAAAAUGUUUUUAAUGAAAUACUUUCAUUUAAAAAAAUUUGAACUAAGUUUUUGAAAUCCAGUAUGCAUUUUAAACUUGCAGCACAUCUCAGUUCAGACUAACUAUAACUCAAGUACUCAAUAGCACCUGUAGCCAGGGGCUCCCCUAUUGAACAGUGUAAUUUUGGUCCCAUAGCAUCCUCCAUUGACCAAGCAAUGAAGAAAAAAGUCCAACUAUGGUCCAGGAAAAAUAUCCAGUGCUGGCUGUGUCUAUAUUCUAAUAGUGAAUGCAUAGGUCAUCAUACAUAGUACAUGAUAAGCACUAGGAAUUGGGAAGACAAUAGUUAACGUCAUAUCUCUAUUUUGCAAUAGAACUCUAUAAACAGACAUCUUGAUGUUACAAAUUUUCUAUGUGGUUGAUGAUGUAGUUAAGUUAGGAAAAGUAGAGCCAAGCCGUGCCUCCAGAGAUAAGUCUUUUAGUUAACUUGAUCCUCUGGAAAAACAUUCUCUAUGAUGAAAGCUCAAAUGGUUCUUGCCCAUGUCUAAUACAUUGUGAGGUUUGGCUCUAUGUCCCCACCCAAUCUCAUGUUGAAUUGUAAUCCCCAUGUAUUGGAGGAAGGGCCUGGUGGGAGGUGAUUGGAUCAUGGGAGCGGAUUUCCCCCUUGCUGUUCUUGUGAUGGUCAGUGAGUUCUCAUGAGAUCUGAUGGUUUAAAAAUGUGUAGCACUUCCCUGUUUGCUCCCUCACUCUCCUGCAACCAUGUGAAGAAUGUGCCUUGCUUUCCCUUUGCCUUCUGCCAUGAUUGUAAGUUUCCUCAGGCUUCCCAGCCAUGCUUCCUGUUAAGCCUAUGGAACUGUGACUCAAUUAAACCUCUUUUC